RNAcentral lists this ribosomal RNA (306 nucleotides) under Bacillus sp. UA-AR0125. RNAcentral describes it as "bacterial SSU rRNA". It matches the Rfam family "Bacterial small subunit ribosomal RNA", at positions 87 to 386 of the family's 1533-position model. Lineage: Bacteria; Bacillati; Bacillota; Bacilli; Caryophanales; Bacillaceae. The record is from RNAcentral.
AACAAUUAGCGGCGGACGGGUGAGUAACACGUGGGCAACCUGCCUAUAAGACUGGGAUAACUUCGGGAAACCGGAGCUAAUACCGGAUAUGUUCUUCUCUCGCAUGAGAGAAGAUGGAAAGACGGUCUCGGCUGUCACUUAUAGAUGGGCCCGCGGCGCAUUAGCUAGUUGGUGAGGUAAUGGCUCACCAAGGCAACGAUGCGUAGCCGACCUGAGAGGGUGAUCGGCCACACUGGGACUGAGACACGGCCCAGACUCCUACCGGAGGUAGCAGUAGGGAAUCUUCCGCAAUGGACGAAAGUCUGA